UUUGUUGCACCGGAAGUAGGUAGUCUAACCCUCGGGAGGACGCUUACCACGGUGUGGCCGAUGACUGGGGUGAAGUCGUAACAAGGUAGCCGUAGGUGAACCUGCAGAAGGAUCA
Molecule: ribosomal RNA, 115 nt
Filed under: uncultured eukaryote
Lineage: Eukaryota
Description: partial small subunit ribosomal RNA
Rfam family: Bacterial small subunit ribosomal RNA
Source: RNAcentral